UUUCAGAGGACUGAGUCAUGGUUCCAUCUCCCAGCAGAAGAGGACAGGAGUCAGUUCCUGGGUCUGGGUAAGACACUAGUCCACCGUGCUUUGGAGGGUCAGUCUCAGCACUGUGCCAACCAUACGUACAGACACACUUUCAACAUGACAAGGCACUGGCAACUCCUACAACUAGAUGACAGAUGUUGCUCUUUGAAACUAGCUGUCUGUCUGUGUCUUGUCAUAAAACAACCGUUCUGUUAUGUUUUGUAACGUGGGUCUCGCAGAUGAAUUAUUAAUCACCAGCAAUGAUAGAGAUAACAUUGUAAAACAUGUCGUUGUUUUUAAUAUGUUGAUUAUUAUUAUUUUUUCAUUAGAAUUUCAGGACAGUCGUCUGUCACCUGCCCUUGCUCUGCUACCAGAGUAUGACUUCUCGGGAUACUCUCUCUUCCAACAAACAACAGACUUAGAGUUUGCCCCUUUAAGGUAACGCUUUCUUCAUUAGAAAAUAAAACUGUUUAUUAAAAUAAUAGUUUCAUUACUAUAAGGAACAACGGUCACUAUAUCAGCAUGAAUAGUUUUAGGUUAUUGAAAAGUAACCCGUGCUUGUGUUAUGCACGUCUCCUGUUUGUCUUGUCAGGGGGUCUCCAGACGUGUCUGUAGCCUCCGAGAGGUUUCUGAUACCACAGGCCAAGAAGGGCAGCAGUGGCGUUGUCCAGCCGUCUGUCCCUCAGCAUUCCUCUCUGUCCCAGCAUCCUCUGGCCUACAACUCCACCCUGUCUGAGCACCCUCUCGGUCACACCUCCACCCUGUCUCGGUCAGAGGAGAGGGCCAGUAGCUGCUGCUCGCUCUCCGAACACAGCAUGUCCCCUGGUGACGGGUUGGGACAACCAGGGGAGGACCGCUACCCAACCACCGUCAGUGAUAACGAGGGGCAGAAGACUCAUCGUUCUGGGACACGUACCAGUCUCCUUGACCCAGACAGACCUCUGGCCGUGCUCCCUGACGACAACGCUUCGUUCCUCAGCGGGGACAUCCCUGUCAGAAAGCUGCUGGAUCUGCUCCAGAAGGACGUUGGCAUGCCCAGCGGUAGCAGCAGUGCCGUCUCCUCUGCCUCUGAGACCUCUCUCAAGAGGACUAACUUCUUUGGGGGAGAAUCCAGGAGUGACAGCUGUGUUUCCAAACCAGAUGGCUUGAGAGAAGAGAGGGAUGUGAGCCAAAGAGCGCUGCCUGACGUCUCACCUGAGCUGCUGCCUGACGUCUCACCUGAGCUGCUGCCUGACGUCUCACCUGAGCUGCUGCCUGACGUCUCACCGCCAGUCACAGGGAGAAGAGAAGGCCCUCAAGGAGGAGCCUCCGUCUCACCUGAGAAGACGGAGAAACUCAAAAGUAAACAGUCUUCACGGAUGUCUGAAAUUUCCAACAUCACCAUCCGUUCCCUGAGCAGCCAGCCGGAUGAAAGCAGUAAUGCGUCCCGCAGGCAGCUCUGCUCGGAGCUAGAGAGGAGUCUGGACUCUGAGCCUGGAGCAGAGACCCAGGGAGGUACCAGCCGUGGGCCCAUACCCUCCUUACACAGUGAAGUCAACACACCUGACAUUGUCACCAAUACACCUAAUGUUUCAACCACUGGAUCCGCCAAAGGGAGGUUGAGCGUGACCAGAGGGCUACGGGCCAGUGUGUUAGGGCCAGGGGCUGGGGUCGGGCCCCAGUUUUCAGCAGGGUUCAGUGUGGAGCGAGGCCAUAGGGAGAGAGACCUCUGGUCCUCAGGCAACCAGACAGGCACAGAACCAGACGUCUCGUUCCUGAGCCUUCUGCCCCAGCCCGUGUCCCAGUCCACCCCAGGUGUGUUCCUCCACGCUCCAGUCAGAUCCAGCACUAAGCUGUCUGCCCUCACCUUUAACAUGGAGGUCUCUCAGCGCUCCUCAGGCUCCAGAGUCUCGCCCCAGCCUGCUGUAGACACCCUGCCUGAUAGAGCCACCCCUGUCCGGGACCCCCCUCUGCCUGCCAGAGAGACAGUACAGGAGCCCUCGGGAAGAAGCCACCAUUCUCUCCCCAGUCUUAACUACCUACAGAAGGUUGAUGCCUGGAAGGCCAACCAAAGUUCAAACAAGAUGUCGUUCUAUGACAACUUGUCUCUUCAGGGCUUCUCCGGGGUCUCUCCCAAGCAGAAGGCCUACGAUGCAGUCUCUGACUCUCUGACCCGUAUGUUGACUCAACCACGGCUGGGCAACCAGACCCUCAGCAUGUGUGAAUCUGGACCCUCCUCCCCUAGCAGAGGGGAGGCAGCAGGUAGUGGUCUUCCUGAGAGAGAGGACACAGCGGGGCCUGUAGGAGGGCCAUCCCCCAUGGGCAGGUCUCAGUCCCACUCCUCCCUCAACACAGUGGUCACGUCUAUCCAGAGAGCUCAGCAUGCACAGACACACACUGACCAGGACAGCAGCCAGACACAGCCAGAGGAGGAGAGUGCUACAGGGCAGCCCAGGGAGUUGGAGAGGAGCCGGGGAGGGUCAGGGUCAGACAGGGUUCAGUCAGGAGGUGGACCUGAACAGCCCAGUGGUGCUCCAACCGAGCCCUCUCCCUUCAUCAGCCUGGGACGCUUCAAUAACGUGUCAUCAAAGCGAGACGUCCUCUCCAGCUCCCGGGACAGUGACCACAGCGGGCAGAACUUUGAGGUGCCCAUCAGGGCUGCUUCUUCUUCUGUGGUCAGUCUGGAGGUGGAUAACUAUGCCCCGUACUGGACCUCCAAACCAUCCUCACCACACAGGGAGAGGGAGCUCAACAUUGACGAAAGGAUUCCGAUGUACCUUCACAACCUUGGGAUCGACCAAUCUCCUUCUACGAUCCUCAAUCCCUUUGGACCUCGAGGGCCAAUCAGAGAGCCAGAGUUCUCUCCCACUGAUCUGUGCACCAUAAAGGGAUCCACAGCCACUGGCACGCCAACCAAGAGCACACAGCCUUCUGAAGGCGACAGCCCUCAUAAAGGAGAGUUCUCCAGGUCCAGCCUGCUGUCUGUGGCCUCAAGCAUGUCUCUACCUCUCAGUGUGGACAGCCUCCAUCUCCAUCCCAUAAGGAGCCAGGCAGAGAACACCAGGAGCUGCCUGUCCCCCUCUCCGGGACCAGACAGAGACAGGUCUCCCAGCCAGGGCAGUCUGAGGAUGGCCCUCUGCCCCCUGGAUAUCUCAGUGGAUAACACAGUGCUCCAGGACUCCCAGCAGGAUCCUCGCUGCCUCCAAGCAUCCUCCCCUGCACCACAGUCCACCCAGCCCCUUGACCUCCACAUCUACCAGCUCCCUGCACCAGAGUCCAAAAAUAAAAAGUACCCUGGCUUGCUUCCGGACCUACAGUCCACUGAGCAACAUCAGAGAGACAGCAGAGUGAAUGUCUCUACCCAGGCUGCUAUAGAGCUGGCAGGGGGGCUUGAGUCCAGUGCUGACAGCUUAUCUCAGUACAGAGACAGGGUCAAAAACAGCUUAUCUCACUACAAAGAUGAAGACAGAGACAGUUUAUACAGGAACAGAGACAUGGACAGAGACGUCUUGUCUCAGUACAGAGACAGUGCAGUAGCGUCCUGUCCCCAGGUUAACACCACCAUUGAUCGUAGUAAUCCUGAUGAUUCCUUCGUAGGCUCCCAGACUCUGCAGGACAUUAGGCUUCUGCUGGGCCGGGCUGAAAACAUUGUGUCUGGUGGGUCCUCCUCCUCUAGCGCCUCCUCCCACCUCCUCCACUCUGACGACGACAUCCUGCUCCUCUCUCUCAGGAGGAAGAUGGAGGUAUUCCAGGACUCCUCCUUCACCUCCUCCUCUGGUGGGGCCGGGGUGGGGGACCCAAGGAGUCACUCCUCCUUGCUUUGGGCCCGCUCCUCCUCUGACUCCAUGCUGCCGGCAGUUAGGAAGAGGGAUAAGGAGAGGGAGAGCUCUGCCUACAACGGGGAAGGUCAUGUCAGGCUAACCAGAGAAGCAGAGCAUCAGUCCACACCCGCCAGAGAGGAGUCUGCGAGACUACUACAGGACAGAGAGCAUCAUGGAAGACCAAGGGACAGUUCUGAAGACGGAGAGCAUCAUGGAAGACCAGGUGACAGUUCUGAAGACAGAGAGCAUCAUGGGAGAUCACAUGACAGUUCUGAAGACCAAGAGCAUCAUGGGAGAUCACAUGACAGUUCUGAAGACAGAGAGCAUUAUGGGAGACCACCACAGGACAGUUCUGAGCACAGAGAGCAUUAUGGGAGACCACCACAGGACAGUUCUGAGCACAGAGAGCAUUAUGGGAGACCACCACAGGACAUCUCUGGCAGUAGCUCUACUUUCCUCCUGACCAAAUCUGUGCGGAGGGCGGAGCCUGAGGGCUGCAGUGCUGGCCUCUCGGACACGCGGAUUGGCCCUGUGCUGUUGUCAGUUAUGCCGGUCAGCCAACCUGGUCCCUCAUUGGGUGAUGCUGGCGUUGGCAAGCUGCAGCAGGCUCCAACAACAACAGUGGGAGGAGGAGACCCAGAAGUGCAGAUGGCUCCAGAAGAGGGAAGCUCUUCGUCCUCUUCGUCCUCCUGUCCCGUGGGCUCUGAGCAGGGGUGUGGAGGUCUGUCUGAGCCGGCCCACGGUGGGGAUCAGGGUGGAGAUGCUCUGAGUGAUGGUGGCAGCAGCAGCAGUUCUCUAGCAGCCAGGGUAGCCAGGCUGCUCCAGAAUGAGUCCCCAGCCACGGUGGCGUCCCUGUCCAGCCGAGCCAGUACCGCCACAGCAGACCUGGAGGAAAGCAGAGCCAGAGAGUGGCUGAGGCUGAAGGUGUCGGGGCAGCACUGUGAAACUCUGGAGCUCAACACGGAGGAUAGACAACGCAUAGAGGAGAUCAAGAGAGAGAUACUCUUUAAACACCCACUACAGAACCCGAGGAGCACGGACACGGACAGCAGUACUGCGUCCAGCCUUGUAGGUCCAGGGGGCCAGCCUCCCUCCCUACCCCAGCCUGAGGAGCAGUUGGUUGGGGAGAAGAAGCAGUUCAGGGCCCUGAAGGCAGCAGAGGACUGUCUGUCCCACCAGCUACAGCAGCUGAGCAGGAACCCGUUUGACGACAGCGUUGAGCUGCGUACCCCUCUAAGGCAGGACCUAGAGGACCGGGUCAGACAGAUCGCCCUCCGAGAGGGGUUAUACGUCCUCCCUAGAACGCACCCUCCACCCCUCACCUCCAUCACCAUUGCCACCUCCCGCCGCUCCCCCCUCCCCGAGCCUCUACAGGUGUCCCAGUUCACCUUAGAAGGUGUCUCCCAACCCACAGUGCAGGGGUGGCUACCUCAGACACGGCCCCAGCAGCAGGGGAGGGAGAGCACCACCACCUCGACACACUGCUCCAUGUCCAGAGACACAUCCACCAUGACUGGAUCACAGGCCAACAGCAGCAGUCUGUACCCCAGAGACAGAAAGACACGCCUGGGCCAGGAGCCGGGACAGGAGCCGGGACAGGAGCCGGGACAGGAGCCGGGACAGGAGCAGGUAGAAUCCCAGCUGAAUCUAUCUUUACCGCUUACUGACUAA
Molecule: long non-coding RNA, 5498 nt
Organism: Oncorhynchus mykiss (rainbow trout)
Lineage: Eukaryota; Metazoa; Chordata; Actinopteri; Salmoniformes; Salmonidae
Source: Ensembl